Long non-coding RNA from Lepus europaeus (European hare), 835 nucleotides. RefSeq lists it as uncharacterized. The record is from RefSeq and is a predicted model, not a curated record. The transcript is spliced from 4 exons. NCBI's taxonomy places the organism in Eukaryota, Metazoa, Chordata, Mammalia, Lagomorpha, Leporidae.
UGUGAGCAGACCAUUGUUAGGACAUGAAGCAGUGUCCCCACCUAGUAACCUGCAUGUUCAGCACAUUCUGCUCCUCUGUUUCAUGGCUACAGGACUAUUACUUUGUACAACGUUUCCGUGAAGCCCGGAAGAUUGGCUAGAGAGGCUGAUUGGAAGCAAGAUUUAAUCACUGAUGUUGAGCUGAAAUGACGGGAUCAGUCAACAACACAGUGGCCAGAACUCGGGUGAAGUCAUAGAAAACUGCACCACAAGCAUGCUCUGUAGAGAGACAUAAUGAGACAUCUGUGAGAAGGCAUGGAUUGCAGUUUGCCACGAUUGCCUCGUUAGCCUGCAAAGACAAAACAAGACAUGAGAGACAAUGCAGUGACGCUUCAACCCCAGGAAUUUAAAAUCUGAGUAGUCUGCAGGAUAACUUGAAAUUUUAUUGAAGCUGGGACAUGGGGAUGCUUUUGAACUGAGUAACAAAUGCUGGAGAAAGACAACUGAUACAGGCUGAACAUCACCCUAAAAACCCUUUCUGAGAUGCACGGCUUCAUUUUCAUUUUGUUACAUUAAAAAGCCAAUCUCUCAUGUGGAAAUGCCCUGAUGGCUGAGUUUUCCUAAUUUUUAAAUGGUGCUGGAAGUACAAACUGUCAUGGAAACAAGCAAGCUACGGUUUUAGGGAAAGAAGGAGCAGCAAAUAAUCUCAGAUCAUACAGGUGAAGGAACAAGUACCUUGGAAAACACAGUAAGCAAGUCAUGUCCCCUGCUUCAGGCCAAAGGAGGGAAUGGCGGGGUACCAAGCACAUGGAGAAUGGGUUUUAGUGUCAGCCAAAGCAGGGUUUGGAUUCCAGCC